RNAcentral lists this ribosomal RNA (253 nucleotides) under uncultured bacterium. RNAcentral describes it as "partial 16S ribosomal RNA". It matches the Rfam family "Bacterial small subunit ribosomal RNA", at positions 524 to 776 of the family's 1533-position model. The record is from RNAcentral.
UACAGAGGGUGCUAGCGUUAAUCGGAAUUACUGGGCGUAAAGGGUGUGUAGGUUGUUAGGUAAGUCAGAUGUAAAAGGCCUGGGCUUAACCUGGGAAGGUCGUUUGAUACUGCCUAGCUAGAGUACUAUAGAGGACAGUGGAAUUUCCAGUGUAGCGGUGAAAUGCGUAGAUAUUGGAAGGAACACCAGUGGCGAAGGCGACUGUCUGGAUAGAGACUGACACUGAAACACGAGAGCAUGGGUAGCAAACAGG